This 459-nucleotide ribosomal RNA is filed under the name uncultured bacterium. RNAcentral's name for it is "partial 16S ribosomal RNA". It matches the Rfam family "Bacterial small subunit ribosomal RNA", at positions 338 to 795 of the family's 1533-position model. The record is from RNAcentral.
CCUACGGGAGGCAGCAGUGAGGAAUAUUGGUCAAUGGUCGGGAGACUGAACCAGCCAAGCCGCGUGAGGGAUGAAGGUACAGAGUACCGUAAACCUCUUUUGUCAGGGAACAAAGGCGGGGACGCGUCCCCGGAUGAGUGUACCUGAAGAAACAGCAUCGGCUAACUCCGUGCCAGCAGCGGCGGUAAUACGGGGGAUGCGAGCGUUAUCCGGAUGUAUUGGGUUUAAAGGGUGCGCAGGCGGUCUGUUAAGUCAGCGGUCAAAGCCCGGGGCUCAACCGCGGCCCGCCGUUGAAACUGGCAGUCGCGAGUUGGAGAGAGGUGUGCGGAAGGCGCGGUGUAGCGGUGAAAUGCAUAGAUAUCGCGCAGAACUCCGAUGGCGAAGGCAGCAUGCCGGCUCCACACUGACGCUGAGGCACGAAAGCGUGGGUAUCGAACAGGAUUAGAUACCCGAGUAGUC